GAUGAACGCUGGCGGCGUGCUUAACACAUGCAAGUCGAACGAAGCACUUUAUUUGAUUUCCUUCGGGACUGAUUAUUUUGUGACUGAGUGGCGGACGGGUGAGUAACGCGUGGGUAACCUGCCUUGUACAGGGGGAUAACAGUUGGAAACGGCUGCUAAUACCGCAUAAGCGCACAGCAUCGCAUGAUGCAGUGUGAAAACCUCCGGUGGUAUAAGAUGGACCCGUGUUGGAUUAGCUAGUUGGGGAGGUAACGGCCCACCAAGGCGACGAUCCAUAGCCGACCUGAUAGGGUGACCGGCCACAUUGGGACUGAGACACGGCCCAAACUCCUACGGGAGGCAGCAGUGGGGAAUAUUGCACAAUGGGCGAAAGCCUGAUGCAGCGACGCCGCGUGAGCGAAGAAGUAUUUCGGUAUGUAAAGCUCUAUCAGCAGGGAAGAUAAUGACGUUACCUGACGAAGAAGCACCGGCUAAAUACGUG
Molecule: ribosomal RNA, 481 nt
Filed under: uncultured bacterium
Lineage: Bacteria
Description: partial 16S ribosomal RNA
Rfam family: Bacterial small subunit ribosomal RNA
Source: RNAcentral